GACANGACUCUCGACAAUGGAUGAUUUGGNUCUAGCAUCGAUGAAGAGCGCAGCGAAAUGCGAUANGUGGUGCGAAUNGCAGAAUCCCGUGAAC
Molecule: ribosomal RNA, 94 nt
Filed under: Ionopsis satyrioides
Lineage: Eukaryota; Viridiplantae; Streptophyta; Magnoliopsida; Asparagales; Orchidaceae
Description: 5.8S ribosomal RNA
Rfam family: 5.8S ribosomal RNA
About the family: 5.8S ribosomal RNA (5.8S rRNA) is a component of the large subunit of the eukaryotic ribosome. It is transcribed by RNA polymerase I as part of the 45S precursor that also contains 18S and 28S rRNA.
Source: RNAcentral